RNAcentral lists this ribosomal RNA (1268 nucleotides) under Peribaea tibialis. Its description in RNAcentral is "eukaryotic LSU rRNA". It matches the Rfam family "Eukaryotic large subunit ribosomal RNA", at positions 156 to 1219 of the family's 3401-position model. The record is from RNAcentral. Lineage: Eukaryota; Metazoa; Arthropoda; Insecta; Diptera; Tachinidae.
GAAUGUCAAAUUUCUAGUAUGAGAAAUUAAUGAUUUAAGUCCUUCUUAAAUGAGGCCAUUUACCCAUAGAGGGUGCCAGGCCCGUAUAACAUUAAUGAUUACUAGAUGACAUUUCCAAAGAGUCGUGUUGCUUGAUAGUGCAGCACUAAGUGGGUGGUAAACUCCAUCUAAAACUAAAUAUAACCAUGAGACCGAUAGUAAACAAGUACCGUGAGGGAAAGUUGAAAAGAACUCUGAAUAGAGAGUUAAAUAGUACGUGAAACUGCUUAGAGGUUAAGCCCGAUGAACCUGAAUAUCCAAUUAUAGAAAAUUCAUCAUUAUGAUUAUAAUAUUUAAUAAAUAUUGUAAUAGUGGUGUGCAUUUUUUCUAUAAAGGACAUUGUAAUCUAUUAACAUGUAAAUAUUUAUCAUAAGAUCAAUUGCGUAAGUAUAUUCGAAUUAUUUUGCUUGCAUUUUAACAUAGAAUAUAUGCAUUUGAUUUGAUAAAGUGUUGAUAGAUUUAUUUAUAUAUAGUGCUUAAAUAUAUUUUUAUAUUUUAUAAUAACAUAUUAAUAAUUUAUUUUUAUGUUUAUUAUAUGCACUUAUAUGAUUAACAAUGCGAAAGAUUCAGGAUACCUUCGGGACCCGUCUUGAAACACGGACCAAGGAGUCUAACAUAUUUGCAAGUUAUUGGGAAUAAAAACCUAAUAGCGAAAUUAACAUAACUUAAUUAUAAUGGGAUUAGUUUUUAGUCUAUUUUUUAAAUAGUCAAUUAAUUCAAUCCCGGGGCGUUCUAUAUAGUUAUGUAUAAUAAUAUUUUAUAUUAUUUAUACCUCUAACUAGAACGUACCUUGAGCAUAUAUGCUGUGACCCGAAAGAUGGUGAACUAUACUUGAUCAGGUUGAAGUCAGGGGAAACCCUGAUGGAAGACCGAAACAGUUCUGACGUGCAAAUCGAUUGUCAGAAUUGAGUAUAGGGGCGAAAGACCAAUCGAACCAUCUAGUAGCUGGUUCCCUCCGAAGUUUCCCUCAGGAUAGCUGGUGCAUUUAAAAAUUAUGUUAAAUAAUCUUAUCUGGUAAAGCGAAUGAUUAGAGGCCUUAGGGUCGAAACGAUCUUAACCUAUUCUCAAACUUUAAAUGGGUAAGAACCUCACCUUUCUUGGUAUGAAGGUAGUGGUUGUGAUAUAAUGUGCCCAGUGGGCCACUUUUGGUAAGCAGAACUGGCGCUGUGGGAUGAACCAAACGUAAUGUUACGGUGCCCAAAUUAACAACUCAUGCAGAUACCAUGAAA